UCUCAUUGAUGAUCAACCACAGAUGACGAGUCCGAUAUCCAUUCAUAAAAUCGUGACGACAAUCGAGGCAUUUGUCUGAGAGGA
Small nucleolar RNA from Cannabis sativa, 84 nucleotides. The record is from RefSeq and is a predicted model, not a curated record. NCBI's taxonomy places the organism in Eukaryota, Viridiplantae, Streptophyta, Magnoliopsida, Rosales, Cannabaceae.